RNAcentral lists this ribosomal RNA (521 nucleotides) under uncultured bacterium. RNAcentral's name for it is "bacterial SSU rRNA". It matches the Rfam family "Bacterial small subunit ribosomal RNA", at positions 8 to 524 of the family's 1533-position model. The record is from RNAcentral.
AGAGUUUGAUCCUGGCUCAGGAUGAACGCUAGCGGCAGGCUUAACACAUGCAAGUCGAGGGGUAACAUUGUAGCUUGCUACAGAUGACGACCGGCGCACGGGUGCGUAACGCGUAUAGAAUCUGCCUUCUACAGAGGGAUAGCCUUUAGAAAUGAAGAUUAAUACCUCAUAACACUUUGGAAUGGCAUCGUUUUAAAGUUAAAGAUUUAUCGAUAGAAGAUGACUAUGCGUCCUAUUAGCUAGAUGGUAAGGUAACGGCUAACCAUGGCAACGAUAGGUAGGGGUCCUGAGAGGGAGAUCCCCCACACUGGUACUGAGACACGGACCAGACUCCUACGGGAGGCAGCAGUGAGGAAUAUUGGGCAAUGGAGGCAACUCUGACCCAGCCAUGCCGCGUGCAGGAAGACUGCCCUAUGGGUUGUAAACUGCUUUUAUACAGGAAGAAACGUAUCUACGAGUAGGUAUUUGACGGUACUGUAAGAAUAAGGACCGGCUAACUCCGUGCCAGCAGCCGCGGUAAU